Molecule: long non-coding RNA, 500 nt
Filed under: Anas platyrhynchos platyrhynchos (common mallard)
Lineage: Eukaryota; Metazoa; Chordata; Aves; Anseriformes; Anatidae
Description: lncRNA (ENSAPLG00000020097.1)
Source: RNAcentral
CUGUGUUGCCAGUGUGUAGAGGGCAAAAGAAGUGGUAUGGAGGGAGUGAAUUGAUUUUAACCAUAUCAACUGUUUUACAAAUGAUAGGUCUAACUAUUCAAAGGCAGGCUGACAUGAGCUGCUGAAAGGGCUGAUGAACAGAGAGGGAAGGAUAUGAGGAAGGAUAUCUGAAGAAUCAGGCUGGAAGGAAAGAAUUGUCUGCUAAUUGGAAUGGACAUUUGAAAAUCCUGAGAAACUGAGGCAUGAAAAGAGUUGCCAACAGUGAAGUGCUUUUCCUCCCUUGCUGCUCAUUUUUUUUCCCCUAAUGUUGCUGUUGGAGAGGCUUCUCAUUUGUACUGUGAAAGGCCUGGAAAGAAUCCAAGUCAUAUGGAGCUUGACUCCGGAGAAAGUGUUAACAACAGGGUAAGUUGCUAACUGCUUUGCUUUUUCCUGUUCUGUUUUGAUAGUGAAUCAAAAUGGCACUCUGUGGUUCCUGGCCAGAAAAAUCACAGACAGCCAAG